UAUAGAAAAAAAUGUGGCAUUGCAUUGAGUCGCAACUGCUCGUGCCAAAAGUGUUUUUCCGUUUCCUGGGGGUCCAAACAGCAAGAGUCCUCGAGAUGGAGUUCGCAGGCCUGUAAAUAAUUCGGGUCGCAGUGAAGGACGUUCCUCAGAAACGUCUUCACUCUCAUGGUCUGAUCCUUGAUUCUGGCUGGCAAUCUCCAUCUUUUUCAGCUCGCAAACACUCACUACAAAAUAAAAAGAAAAAAAAGAGAAAAACAUUCCCCGCCAUGCUGCGCAACACGACUACAACAACAACAACAACGCAAUUAACAUAAUUGCAGAGCGAAAUUUCAUGUACUUUUCUACGAUUUCCAAAAAAGGCCUCAACGAAUUGUUUCGAAACAUUAUGUGAAGGAGAGAAAAUGGAACUUUAAAGAAUCGAUAAGGAAUUUAGGUUUCGGUAAUUAAAAGUCAAUGGUUUGGAAAUCGAAGAAAACUUGUUUUUCAAUAAGGAAUAUAAGCA
Molecule: long non-coding RNA, 502 nt
Organism: Leptopilina heterotoma
Lineage: Eukaryota; Metazoa; Arthropoda; Insecta; Hymenoptera; Figitidae
Exons: 3
Source: RefSeq, a predicted model, not a curated record